UGUUUCUGCCAGGGCUUGAACCUGGAACCUUCCGCGUGUUUGGCGGAUGUGAUAACCACUACAAAACCAC
This 70-nucleotide transfer RNA is filed under the name Cordylochernes scorpioides. Its description in RNAcentral is "tRNA-Val". The record is from RNAcentral. Lineage: Eukaryota; Metazoa; Arthropoda; Arachnida; Pseudoscorpiones; Chernetidae.